Molecule: long non-coding RNA, 159 nt
Filed under: Monodelphis domestica (gray short-tailed opossum)
Lineage: Eukaryota; Metazoa; Chordata; Mammalia; Didelphimorphia; Didelphidae
Description: lncRNA (ENSMODG00000046973.1)
Source: RNAcentral
CUCAUGAAGUCAUCAAGGAUAAGGUGGAGUUGGAACUGGACCCAUUGAGGAUGGUGACCAAUGUUGCCAACCAGUUCAUUUGAAAAUUUGCCAUCUGAAAGAGUAGCUAUGUAAGCGAAAGGUAAAAGCCUUUUUACUUCAAUGAAAAGCAAUAUAAGG